Molecule: long non-coding RNA, 731 nt
Organism: Zophobas morio
Lineage: Eukaryota; Metazoa; Arthropoda; Insecta; Coleoptera; Tenebrionidae
Exons: 2
Source: RefSeq, a predicted model, not a curated record
AUAUUGGUUUACAUUAGGUUGUAUAUGUCUGUGGACUGGUUUUAUUGUAUUUGUUAUUAAUAAUGACAGAAAGACAUGUGUUAACAAUAGGGGCAAUUACCAGUUUUUUUUUUUUGUUGACGAUCGGAAAUGCAUUGUGAACGGAGAAAAUUCUUUGCAGUCAAAUAAUGCAGUGAAAGUCACUUGGUAUACUGAAUUAAAUGUGCUUGAAGAGUUUAUUCGAGCUAGAAUGCGAAAUAGCCAAUGAUAUUCCUUAAGAGAGGCAACAUGUGAAACCACAACGGGUGCAUUUGUAUGUCACCAUAUGGCUACACCUGCCCUACACGGGCGUUAUAAUGUAUUUUGGACCAAUAAUUUGCGUUCUUGGGACGUACAUCUGAAGAAAAGUGAAUCAGCCGAGGUCAGAGCUGUGAUCUCUGAAAAUUCUUUUAAUCCCCAAGUCAACCUAAACACAGCUAAUGUUGAGGUACAACUUUAUGAAAGCUUACGACAAACUGAUGGGAGCGAAGCACUGCUUUGGCUAUUGGGCCCUGAACCAGAAAGAUCUGAAGAAAAUCUACUUCACAGUGUCGAAGAACUAUUAGUGUCCGAGGACUAUUUAAAUGGUCCAUUAAUAUAACAGUUUGUGGGUCAGUUUUUCACCAAAAGUGAAUCAGAGUUUGCAUUAGGCGGUGCAAUUUUUUAUUGUAGAAUAUUUUUUUUUGUUUUGAAAUAAAUUGGUCUUUAAAUUG